CAUGCUACACAGCAACAGCACACUUGGCUACUUGCAAACUGUGAAGACGUUGAUACUUGAUAGUUACCUGUGGUCUUAUUAAAGUGCUUAUUAGUUCAAAAGUGAUCAAAAUGGCUGUGAGUGUUUGACUUGGUGUAAAAAAAAAUGUAAAAUAUGAUCUCCUCAACCAACUAAAGCACAAUACUAUAAUUUGAUAAAUUCUAUCCUAUGGGAAAAGUGAAAGCCAUGCUUGUGUGAUUCAGUAUGGUAGACUUUGAACUAGAAUAUUAUACUGUGCUAAGUGAAGGAGUAAUAAGACCGCAGACUAGUUAGCCCAACACACCAAAAUCAGCAUUCUCAGGAUUCUCGCUGUAAAAUUUCCAAACUGUGCAUCACAGUUCACAGACAGUGAUUGUGAGUAAUAUAAACAGUGUAGCACUGUGAGGCUCUACUGCCACGAGGAAGUUCAGCUGAAAGAAAGUUACCUCCACCACCAAGUCAAGAUAACACCGUCGAUUAUACGUCCUUCAAAGGGCUCAGCCACUUUCCAUGUUCCGUUUGCAACCGGGACCACAUCCAGAUGAGCAGCCAACAUGUAAGGAGCUUCAGGGUGGGGUGGGGGGACUAUGGGGGUAUCAGGGAUAUGUCAGGGAACAUGAGGCGCAAGGAGUGAAAGAUAAAGAAGAAUGAGAGAGGUACCGAGAAGAGUGAUCCAAUGAUCCGCACGCUCCAUUUAGACGCUGAAGAACGUGGGAGCGUUGUGCCGGCACUUUUCUCUCUCUUGGAAGUU
Daphnia pulicaria is the source of this 769-nucleotide long non-coding RNA. RefSeq lists it as uncharacterized. The record is from RefSeq and is a predicted model, not a curated record. NCBI's taxonomy places the organism in Eukaryota, Metazoa, Arthropoda, Branchiopoda, Diplostraca, Daphniidae. The transcript is spliced from 4 exons.